GGAAAAACCGCAGAGCUAAGGUGCUAGAGGGACCAUAGACUGCGCUGCAGAAGCCAGGCGCACUCUAUAGCCAGGGGACUGAACUAGAGAAGAUCUGGGCAUUGCCCACCAGUGCAGGACUGGAUGUCCAGCUUGUUAAUCAAAGACCUUGGACCUAAGCUUAAGCUUCAGCAUCGUGGAUCUCGAGCGCGGGAAGGACAGUGAACUGCAAGCUACCACGACCUCUCUCUCCUCCCACCUGCGACCCAGGGAAGAAAGCUCAGAGCCCUCAGCUCCAGGCUUGGAGCUUUCUUGACACCGAAUUCUAGAUGCACCAGGAAGAGCCCUGGCAAGGAGCGGGCUGCGCAGGUAGGGACAAGGGUGGUGUCCCAGUGCAGCCCGAUCAAGUAAUCCCAAGGGAGCCUGCCUGCCACAGUGGAGCGGUGUGGGCUGCUUUCCCGGUGAGGGGAUGAAGAGACCCUUCCCUUGAGUCAGAUGUCGUCAUUUGCUGGGCGAAUUCCGUGCCCCACAAGGGCCACCCUUAUCUGACAAACCCCUAUAGGCUACUGGGGACUUAGGGAAAAGAGAUGGAGGCAGAAUCCUUUGGUAGUAGGGAGUACCAGGUUCAGGGAAAGGGAGCAGAAGACUGCCCCGAACCUAGGCAUCCAGUGUAAGGAGAGGCGUCAUUGCUCUAAGGAUGAUUUUAAACCGCGCAGAGACGCAGCAUAUGGUUUCCAGGUUUGGCGGCACAACACAGAAGACUUUGAGCCGAAGGGGCCUCCAGACACGGAAACUAAAUAAUCCCGAUUUAGAGAGGCCCGAGUAGCAGGAGGCUGGAUUUUUGGUUAAGCUACAAUUAAGAGAAGAUAAUUAAGCCCGGAGCCGUGCAGCUUAUUAAUAUUUAUAGCUCUCGGAGUGAGAGGGCCUUUGCCACGCAGGAGAGGAACCCGAGCCUUUCAGGCCAGGGGCUUCGCAAUGACUGGGAAUGAGAAAGGGCGAAAUGGGGUGAAUCUGUCUCUGCGCUUCUCCCUUAAUUACCGGAGCAGGAAAGUCAGUCGGGAGAGAAGGUGGUCGAAUGACUCUGUCUCAGGGGCUGCGAAGAGAGAUGGCUAUCUCCAGUCCGGAUCCCAUCUCUUCCUUCAGGACCCCAACCGUGCCUUUAAGUGUCCCUGACUCCCAGGAUUGAGGGCUAGUAAAGGAAACGAUUUUGUAACGAAGAUUCCGGGAGAAUUUUCUUUUCCUCCCAGCCUUAACGUCACGCCGCAGGGGACACGGUGAUUAAGUGCUGUCCUGGCUGAGGGAUGGCCCUGCAAGCCCACACACUGGCCUCGAACUUGCUCAUGUACGGUUUGUGGGAUUCCGGGAGGCAGAUCCUGCCCGCCCCGCACGGCCCCCCGCAGGAUCCCGGAGGGCCGCUGCGGGUCAGGCCUUUGAUUCCCGUACCGCUGCGGUGGCAGGCGGAGGGGCUUCACCCGUACUCCGACCUUCCCCGCGGUCUGCUGCCUGCGAGACACCGUGCCACCCACCACUGAGGAUGAAGUAGGGAGCUUCAGCAAUUUGCACUAAACGUAAUUUCUGCUGCUCUUGAGCCCGGAUGGAUGGAGGUGGGUGGAGGAGGGGCGGAUGCCCUGAGCCUUUGCUCUCCACCCCCCUCGCCUCCCCUUGCUAGCCUCCAGCGGCCUCCGCAGUAGCAGCCUCGGUGUCUGGUGCAGAUCGAUUCUCCGUAAUAAACGCGGGGUUCCGCGGGGGGCGCCACUGCGGUUCCCAUGGCAACCUUUGCUUCACUGCAGUCCAGGAUUCUUGGUCACCCGUGCUAAAUAAUCUGAGGAUGGAGCUGUUUGCGGUGACCGCUGUAGCGGCCAGCCUCUUCCUACUCCUGCUUUUCCUGGUCUUCAUCUCGAUCUACGUUGGCUCUAAUCCUGGCCCACAACCUCUGUCCCAAAACUGUUAAUUGAAGAAGAAAGGGGGUGGCGAUUUGUCCUUGUCGCGAGGCGUGGUUCCGAUGGAGCUGCGUACUGCAAAAGAUUCUCCCAAGGAAGACGCAUCUCUACCCAGGCCAGAUGUGGAGACACCAGACAUUCUUGGAGAGAUGUGCCCAGCUCAUCCAAGCAGCUGCAAGGGCUGAUUAGCAUUGAGACCAGCGAAGGACAAGGAAGGAUUCCUGUGUGUCCCUGUGUGUCAAGGGAAAGAUCAACGGGAUUUAAGUAUGAUGAUUGUGGGUUAUAGCAUAAAGGCUUGCUUAACAAAGAGAUGUCGAUGGCAUAAGUGAGUUAUUUUUACACAUCUGUAUACACACACCAGAAAAGGAAAUGUUUUGGUAGGCACAAGUGAAUUUUCUCUCUAUAAAAAACGUGCAGUUCACGGAUGGUGGAUUUUAAGCACGUGUUGGUGAUGUUAAUUUACAGUAAUGAUUAUUCUGUUCUGAAAAUGAAACCAUACCAUCUCUUUUUUUACCAUACCACACCUUUUAACAUUAGCCUGGAUACAUAAUAGCGUAGCUCUAGCGACCAUCUCAGCUGUUGUAUCAAAGGAAAGUGAUCCUGGUAGAGGAGUAUUUAUUCUGCAACAAUGCCAAAUAAAAUUUGAAAACAAAAAAAAAAAA
This 2581-nucleotide long non-coding RNA is filed under the name Mus musculus (house mouse). RNAcentral's name for it is "cardiac and apoptosis-related long non-coding RNA (Carlr)". Lineage: Eukaryota; Metazoa; Chordata; Mammalia; Rodentia; Muridae. The record is from RNAcentral.